Molecule: ribosomal RNA, 401 nt
Filed under: uncultured dinoflagellate
Lineage: Eukaryota; Dinophyceae
Description: partial small subunit ribosomal RNA
Rfam family: Eukaryotic small subunit ribosomal RNA
Source: RNAcentral
GCUUGUCUCAAAGAUUAAGCCAUGCAUAUCUAAGAAUAACUAACAUUAUCUUGAAUCUGUGAAUGGCUCAUUAUAUCAGUUAUAGUUUACAUGAUAGUCAAUACUACUUGGAUAACCGUAGUAAUUCUAGAGCUAAUACAUGCAUAAAGACCCGACUUCUGGAAGGGUUGUAUUUAUUAGUUACAGAACCAGCCCAGGCUCUGCCUGGUCUUGUGGUGAUUCAUAAUAACCGAACGAAUCGUAUGGCAUCAGCUGGCGAUGAAUCAUUCAAGUUUCUGACCUAUCAGCUUCCGACGGUAGGGUAUUGGCCUACCGUGGCAAUGACGGGUAACGGAGAAUUAGGGUUCGAUUCCGGAGAGGGAGCCUGAGAAACGGCUACCACAUCUAAGGAAGGCAGCAGG